RNAcentral lists this ribosomal RNA (695 nucleotides) under uncultured bacterium. RNAcentral's name for it is "bacterial SSU rRNA". It matches the Rfam family "Bacterial small subunit ribosomal RNA", at positions 112 to 823 of the family's 1533-position model. The record is from RNAcentral.
AANGCGUGAGGAACCUGCCUCAAAGAGGGGGACAACAGUUGGAAACGACUGCUAAUACCGCAUAAGCCCACGGCUCGGCAUCGAGCAGAGGGAAAAGGAGCAAUCCGCUUUGAGAUGGCCUCGCGUCCGAUUAGCUAGUUGGUGAGGUAACGGCCCACCAAGGCGACGAUCGGUAGCCGGACUGAGAGGUUGAACGGCCACAUUGGGACUGAGACACGGCCCAGACUCCUACGGGAGGCAGCAGUGGGGAAUAUUGCACAAUGGGGGAAACCCUGAUGCAGCGACGCCGCGUGGAGGAAGAAGGUCUUCGGAUUGUAAACUCCUGUUGUUGAGGAAGAUAAUGACGGUACUCGACAAGGAAGUGACGGCUAACUACGUGCCAGCAGCCGCGGUAAAACGUAGGUCACAAGCGUUGUCCGGAAUUACUGGGUGUAAAGGGAGCGCAGGCGGGAGAACAAGUUGGAAGUGAAAUCCAUGGGCUCAACCCAUGAACUGCUUUCAAAACUGUUUUUCUUGAGUAGUGCAGAGGUAGGCGGAAUUCCCGGUGUAGCGGUGGAAUGCGUAGAUAUCGGGAGGAACACCAGUGGCGAAGGCGGCCUACUGGGCACCAACUGACGCUGAGGCUCGAAAGUGUGGGUAGCAAACAGGAUUAGAUACCCUGGUAGUCCACACCGUAAACGAUGAUUACUAGGUGU